Molecule: long non-coding RNA, 2436 nt
Organism: Sarcophilus harrisii (Tasmanian devil)
Lineage: Eukaryota; Metazoa; Chordata; Mammalia; Dasyuromorphia; Dasyuridae
Source: Ensembl
CCUCCCCCGCCCUGCCCCUGCCUGAGCCGUUCCAUUAUCACCGUGGGCUGGGGAGGGGGGAGGGAGAAUCGCUCUGGACUGAACCAUUGUCAUCGAAUCUCUGGGCGCCUGCGUUGCCUGUGUUACUGCGCCGAGGAAAGUUCCAUUAUCUGCGAGGGAGGGGGGAGGCUCAUUCUGGGUCAUUUCACCGCGGGUUGCAUGUGCCUGAGCUCGGGAAUGUUCCGUUAUCAUCGCGGGUGGGGGGGGGAAGGAGCGCUGGGAGGAACCUUCGCAGGAUUCUCCAGUGUUGGCAAGAUGAGGACGAUCGGAAUGGAUUAGUUCCUUCUCUCGAUAGCGACCCUUCGUUCUUUCGAGCAUCACCUUUUCGUUUUUGUUAUUAUUUUUUUUCUGGAGUACGAGUUUCGGGAGUGGUGAGGGAAGAAGUGAGCGAGAUUUUAGACCUAUUGACUAUCCCAUUCUACCGAUGGGGGCGUCAGUGGGCAGUCCUGUUAUUAUUAGGACCUUUCCAUUGCCCGAGGGGGGAGACCUUGGAAGGUCCCAUCGCAGGAGAGGGGAGAUGUUGGACGCCUCAAUAUCUCAUCCUUCUUCCUGAGCUUGUCCCACUCCCCCACUCCCCACCGGCCCCAGAUCCUGGCCUACGGCGACAUGAACCACGAAUGGGUGGGAAACGACUGGCUGCCCAGCCUGGGGCUGCCCCAGUACCGCAGCUACUUCAUGGAGUCCUUAGUAGAUGCGCGCAUGCUGGACCAUCUCAACAAGAAAGAACUUCGGGGCCAGCUCAAGAUGGUAGACAGCUUCCACAGAGUGAGCCUCCACUACGGCAUCAUGUGUUUGAAGAGGCUCAACUAUGACCGUAAAGACUUGGAACGAAGGCGGGAGGAGAGCCAGAGUCACGUGAGAGACGUGAUGGUGUGGUCCAAUGAGCGGGUGAUGGGCUGGGUGUCAGGCCUGGGGCUGAAGGAGUUCGCCGGAAACUUGUCCGAGAGCGGCGUGCACGGGGCGCUGCUGGCCCUGGACGAGACCUUCGACUGCUCGGACUUGGCGCUGCUGCUGCAGAUCCCGACGCAGAACGCGCAGGCCCGGCAGCUGCUGGAGAAGGAGUUUGGCAACCUCAUCUCCAUGGGCACUGACCGGAGGCUGGACGAGGACAGCGCCAAGUCUUUCAGCCGAUCCCCGUCGUGGCGGAAGAUGUUCCGGGAGAAGGACUUGCGCGGGGUCAGCCCGGACUCGGCCGAGAUGCUGCCGCCCAACUUCCGCUCGGCGGCAGCCGGAGCCCUGGGCUCGCCGGGCCUCCCCCUGCGCAAGCUGCAGCCCGACGGCCCUCCUUCUGGGAGUCCGCGGGCAGAUGGCGGAGUCUCCGUUCGGACUUACUCCUGUUAGUGCUCAGCCAGGUGAGGGUGCCUUCGGGAGUCCCGGAGCCGCGGCUUUCCGAGCUUCCUGACCCGUCCUCCCCCCUCCUUCGGUACAGGUGGGCGCGCCAAGGAGAAGCCUCAGUAGGGGGAUAAAGGUCUGUCCCUUCAGGAGAAUGGACUCGCCCUCGGAAAGGACCGGGUUUGGAGAGACUAGAGGGGCUCUCUGGACUGAACCAUUUUGUACAGACCGGGAGGGAGAGGCGUCUCAGCCUCUGGCCAAUCCAAGUGAACUGGAUUUCGGGAAGGGAGGGGGCAGUUUGGAAUCUUCCUCCUCCCUUUUGCUACUUUGUAAUUUAUUUGUUUCCAGCGAGGGGGGAGGGGACGCAACCCCGCCUCCUCGGGGGCCGCAUGCUGGGGGCGGGGAGUGGCCCGACCCCGCUCCUUCCUUUCUACUCCCUCCCUCUCCCCUCAGACCCUGGGGCCCCAGUCCUCCCGGGCGCCCCACCGCGGGGGACUCGCUGCUACAGGCCCCGCCCCCUCUUCUCUUCCCCCUUCUCCUUCCUUGGGGGAAGGGGAAGGGGAAGGGGAAGGUGGAAGCCUCGUUUUCUCUGAUUCUCGAUUAUCCAGGCAGGCAUCUUUGGGGUGGGGUUGGGGGGCCCCUUUCCCCGUCCGUGUGUCUCGCGUUCCCUGGAUCUCGUCCUUCCCUCUCCCUAACCCUUUAUUCCGGGAAUUGGGAUGAAGGCAGAGAAGGAACCCAGGUGUCUCCUCCCUGCCCCGUUCCCGGUCUUCCCUGCGGGCUCCGUUUUUAUUUGUUUUCUUUUUUUUUCCGUUCUGUUCUGGGUUUUUUUUGUUUGUUUGUUUUGUUUUGUUUCGUUUCGUUCGUUUAUUAUUAUUAUUAUUUUUUUUGCAUGGGAGAAUCCGCCGGGGCAAGGGCUGGGCAAGGGGUGAACCCCCUCCCAACUGCCCCACCUCAGAUGUCAGUGAUCUUGGUGAAAGAAAACUGUUUCAAAGACCCCGCCUCCGCUCAUUUAUUUCCGGGAUCUGAGUUUGCUCCUUCCCCUCAAGGGUCCAGGCACCCCUUCCC